This is a long non-coding RNA of Phyllostomus discolor (pale spear-nosed bat), 6974 nucleotides long. RefSeq lists it as uncharacterized. The transcript has 2 exons. NCBI's taxonomy places the organism in Eukaryota, Metazoa, Chordata, Mammalia, Chiroptera, Phyllostomidae. The record is from RefSeq and is a predicted model, not a curated record.
GAUGGGUUAUGUGGAAAGAGACUGGAGAUAGGAUGAGGUUGAGGUUGGAGAGCUUUUAAAACAUUAUUUUAAUAGUCCCAAAGUUAUUAAAGUCCAAAAUUGGGGCAUUAGAAUAGGGAAGGAGCCAUCGAUGGAACUUGGCAGGAUUAGGAAGAAGAGAGAGCCAAAGAAAGAGAAACUAGUUAGAUGAUCCUAAAAAUUUUGAGCCUGUGUUAUAUAGGGAGACUAGUGAAAACCGCACAGUCAGUUUGGGAAAUAGCUUUGGAAGAAUAGGCAACAGAUAAAUUCAAUUUUAGAUUUGUUGUAUUUGAGUGGAUACUGGGACAGCCACAAAGAAAUGACCGUUAGACAAUUUGACUAUUUGAAAGUAAGCUCAUAAUUAAAGAUAACAAUUUGGAAGUCAUUCAUACGAGAUGCAAGUUGAAAGUGAUGUAAUGAUAAAGGGUAAAGGUUGAAAGUUGAACAAAAGGAAGAGUCAAGAAGGUAGGCAAUCAAGGCUUUUCAGAGUUAGGACAACCAGAUACCUUGCAGCCCUCAAUUUCUAAAAGAAUAUUUUAAAAAAGAAAAUAAUCGAAAGACUGAUUUUUUUUCCCCCUGUAAUCUUAUAAUCUUGGCCCCUUUUUUUGUUUGUUUAGUUCUGUAAUUGUUUGUUGAAAUUUCAUUACCAUUAAUCGAAACUGAUAAAGAAUAAAAUUUGGGGGCGGGGAGACAAUCCUUUUUCCAGUUUUGUAGUGUCUAUCAUGAAUUUUCUUUGCAUGAUAUUUUAUGUUUAUCAUUAAGUAGUCAUUCGUUCAUUCUGUCAUUGAGAAAGACCUAUCAAGUAAUUUCAUCUUUUUCUGUGAGUCUGUUCUUACUCUUCCGUCUCUGGAGUUUGGACAUCUUAAGUAGGGACAAUACCCCUUUUAAAUCCUCACUGAGGAUAUGUUUUUAUUGAUUUUAACCUAGGUAUGUGCUUUGACCAGGGAUCGAACCAGCAACCUUUUAGUAUAUGGGAUGACACUCCAACCAGCUCAGCCACCUGGCCAGGGUGGGCCAACCCCCCUUUUAAAUUAAUUGCCUGUAUCUAUUAUUUUGGCCUUUAUUGAUUUAGUUAACCGAUACUUAGUGAGUGCGUAUUAUGUGCAUGUGCAGCACUCAGGUUCUAAAAUAGAUGGAUGGAUGGAUGGAUGGAUGGAUGGAUUGAUUGAUUGUAAUCUCAAAUUCUAUUUAUGCUUCACUUCCUUGACUAGAUCCUCUCUUCAAAAGUGAAAUGAAAGUUCCUAAACUCUUGGCAUUAGAAGAAUUUGCUGGCAAAUAUCUUUCAAAUGACUUUACCCACCAAAUAGGUUUUUUUUGUUAUUGUUAUUGUACUAAUGAUGAGUAUUGGUACUUAUAAAAUAAUGUAGCUGGAAGGAGCAUUGGUAAGUGGUUAUCCAACCUUUUCUUGAACACAUAAUUUAUUCUAAGGACAAUGUAAAUCUGUUUUUUAUACUACAAAUAAAAAUGCUAAAAUAAUCUGCACAUACAAGAUAAUAUUAUGGUAAUUAUUUACUUUCCUAGUUCAUCCAAAUUGCUCAACCUUGGUUUUGUGUAAGUCAGAUUCUUCUCAGUACCUUAAAUGAUUCUGUUGCCUAAUGGUCUAUGUUAUAUUUUAUAUAUAGUGAUAAUGAAGAGCUGUUUUCCGUUCCUAACUUUUUUUUUACCUUAGAAUUAUUAUUUUUAUCUAGGGCCUGUUAAUAAUUUCUCAGUAGUUUUGCAUGCUUUUGAAAGUGGUAAUGAGUAGUUUAAUUAAGUCUGACAGCUCCAUAGGAAAAAAUGCAUGUGAUUUAUAAAUUAAAAAGGAAGAACAAGGUAAGUGGGUGGGAGCGUUAGGUAUACACUUGUCUUGCAGUUUAAUAUUUCUUGAAAAUACAGCUAUCUUGCCUGUAGCACGUGUAGCACACAGGAUGCCAGUUAAGAGCAUGAUCUUUUUUCUAGUUUUUCUUUAGCUGGUGGAGAUGUAGCAAUAGGUGGGUAAGAAAGGAGGGAAAGGUAUCAAUAUUAGUUGAACAGUGCGUACAGAGUUCUAACAAGGCUGUCCCUUUGCACAUUUUUGUUGCUAGCAUAUUUUAUUAGCUAGUUUUUUAGAAUGUAAAAGGCAAACUUGUUUGUUUUUGAGGUUUUCUUCCUUUAAACUCUCUUUUCCUGAGCUUCUUGACCCAAUGUUUUCCAUCUUUUCAUUGCUGAUUUCUUUUUUCUUUUAGCCUCAGUCUUUGGUCUAUAAUGUUUAUCUUUCUCUUCAUUUUCUUGGAGAGUUUAUACAUUGUUACAGCUUCAACUACUAUCAUCUCUAUGCCCAUGAAAUCCAAAUCUUUAUUUUUUAGUCUCGUUUGUUUGUUUGUUUGAAAUACUAAAUAUCUGACUGCCUGCUAGGCAUCUCUACUUAGAUGUCAGGUUAUCGUUCAGAUUCUUCUGAUUUCAAAAUAGGAUUUCUCCAAUGUACUUACCUGUUUUGUCAUCACUACCCGCUACUCUCCUGUUGCACAGUUGGAAUUUUUGUUCUGAACUUUAACUUUGAUAGUCGUAGGCCACACAUCGGAUUAUUUCAACAGAUUUUGACAAGCAUCCCAUAUUUUAGAUUAUUGCUGUAUAUCCCCCCUUAUAUCCUGCCAGUUGAAUAGAUCAAAUUUAGCAUUAUGGUACUGGUGCUGAAAGAAAAGACCUGAAGUCAUUAAAUCUUUGGGACUUAAAGCUAUAUGCCUGCCAUUGUUCAUAAUCAGUGAGUUAAUGGGUGUUACCAGUAUCAGUUGCACAUCUGGUUAAUUUGGACCAGACUGUUUUGAUGUUAAUAUGUUGCAAGAAUUUUUAAAGAAAACAAAUUACUCCAUUGAUUUGUUCAGCAAAUCUGUGUGUGGGGUCUAAACUUGGAUUCAAAUGUAGGUUCUGCAGUGUUCUAACUAGAUGAUUUUGGUGUUAAUUCUUCAAGGCUCAUUUCAUUUUCAGGAAAGUGGGGGAUAAUGGUAGUGAAUUGUUUUAAGGAUCAAGUAAUAUGGACAAAGCAGUUAUCACAGCAUAUGGCAUUUAGUAAACAUUUAUUAAUUGGUAACUAUUAUUUUUGUCAUAUUUAUAGUGUUCCUGUUUUAUGCUAGUCAUUAUGCUUAGUUUGGAAGUUGAUAUUUAUUGUCUUUUCUAAGUGCAGAGGAAUUUAUCUGGCACCUCAAGUCAUGCCCAUAAAUUCAUAACCCAGCUAUACUUCACUGAAGUGUCAAAGCCGAUUGUUACUGAAAAUGGAGACAGUUAGAUGGAAUUCAGUAGUCUUCAAAAGCCUGUUUAUUUAUUUAGUCAUAUUUACAAUAUACCUGUUUUGUGCCAAGGGUUAAGACUGAUAAGAAAGGCAGUUGGAAGCUGGUUUGUGGAAAUUGAGUUGUUACCUUGCUUUCUUUCUUUGUGUAUCUUUUAUAUUUUCAGUGUAUGUUAAAUGGACUCUUGUACUACAAGCACCCUGUGGGUGUAUAGAGAGGUGGCUCAGAGUAACAGCUGAGACAUGAAUUGGGCCAUUCAUUAACCUCUUGAGUCAGAAAUGUUUUUAAUCCUGAAGGAGCCACAUAUAAAAUUUUAUAAUGAACAAAGAAUGAAUUUUCAGUUUUAGAUUACAUUUUUAUAACUUUACAGUUUUAUUUUAUAAUUAUAAGUUUUGAUGUUGUGUAUAUAUGCUGAAAACUGGAGAUUCUAUUAUAUGUAACAGAAUAACCCACAUAUUACAAAAUACUACCUAUUGAGUUGUAUUGCUGAGGAUAGUUCAGUAGCUAUACUUCCCCAUUCCAAUCCCCACUGAAAAAGAGGUACAUUCAGUUUACAUCCAGAGAAUAGCUGAUGAAUACCACACUCGUGCAUGUACAGGAAUAUGAGCAGAUAGUACUGCAUUUCACAAUGGAAAAUACAUUUUUUUUAAGUAUGCUGUUAGCAUGGUGUAGUGAAAAGACUAAAGUAGAAAUUCAGAGCACUGGCAUAUCCUUAUUUUGCUUUUAAUUCUCUGUAAACAAGUAAAUCUUUUUUCUUAUCUGGUCUUCAGUUUCCCCAUUUGUAAAAUGAAGAGUUGGGCCAUAUAGUUGCUGAUGUCUAUUGUGUCUCUAAAAAUUCUGUGAGUCUUUAUUUAUUAUACUUCCAUAAAAACUUCAGAAGUGUGUCAUUGGUUUCUUAUUUAAGAAAUAAAAAAGUUAAAUGGUGUUCGUGUAAAAAUAUAAUAGGAACUAUCUUUUAAAGUGCUAUUUUUGAAACUAGUUCUGUAUAGCUUCAGUAGAUCAUCCUAAACAAAUUUUUAAUUGUUAUAUUUGGCACUUACUCUUUUUUGCAUUUGUGACUUGUAUUUAUAACUCUAGAGGGUUUAUAUUUUUUGAACAAAGUAAUGAUUGAAUUACUGAUUUGUGUAUCCUUUAAAAUAUAUACAUGUACUUUACUUCUCUAAUAUACCUGUUUUCCUUGUUUGGUAUUGUGAAACAUUUGAGUACAUUUUCCUUAGAGUUUCUAGACAAUUAGUAGGAAGUUAGAUGUUCAGAUUUUGAUGUCUCAGGGAGGGGAGAGGUUAUCUUAUACUUAACUCCUUUUAAAAGGUAGGCUAACCUGUGCUCCCUCUUUAUUCCCUUGUUUGUUUGUUUUUAUUAUUUUGUUGUUAUUUCCAUACUUUAUUUAUAGUCUUUUAUUCCAUACUUCCUAUAUUGACCUUUGGCCAUAAAUUGAAGUGUUAUAUGAGAUUGUUCCCUGAAACUAAUUUUGAAAUACUGGACUGCAGUUAACUCUCUUUUUUUCUCUUUGCUGGUAUUCAUUCAUUUAUUCGUUCAACAAAAGUUCAUUUGGUAUUUGCUGUGUGCUAGGUGCUCUGAUAGGCACCAGGGACACCAUGGUGAGGAAAAGCAAACAUGGGCUCUGCUUUCAUGGAAUUUAUAGUCUCUGGUGAAGAAUAAAUUAUGAACAAAUGUUAGUGGGGUCAUGUUUGAAGGGAAGAUAAGAGAUAUAAUCAUGCCAUUUCUUUAAGUUUUGAGAUAUAUUUAAAGACUUGUGAUAAAGUAGUGUGUAAGUGUAUAAUUUUCAGGUAUGAGUGUAGAUUGUCUGUAUCAGAUUCACUUGAGGAUUUCCUAAAAAUGUAAUCUGGGCCCAUACCUAGGCCAACAAAAUAGAAAUUUUGGAGGAUGAGUCCUAGGAUUCUGCACAAGGUGUGGAUUCUUAGACAUACUCAAGUUUGAAAACUCUGGUGAUAGUGUAAAGAACAUAGAUUUUAAUUUUGUGUGGUAAUUUUAUAAAUGAAAAAUUUUGCACAUGCACUGAAGAGUAGGGGAAAUAGGUGAAUCCCCAUUACCAGAUUCUGCAGUUUUCAAAAUUUUGUCAUACUUGCUUCAUAAGUCACUGUUUUUCUUGCCAAAAUACUUAAAAGUAAAUCCCAAUGAUUUUAUCCUUACCUAUUUCAGUAAACAUCUUUUAAAAAAAACCAUUUUCUUAUAUUACUACAAUGCCCAUUAUUGUGUCUAACAAAAUUAAAAGCUCAUUAGUACCAUUAAUUCCCAGUUAAUACUCAAAUUUUUCUAGUUUAAAAUACUUCUUUACAGUUGCUCUAUUAGAAUUUGGAUCCAAAUUCUACAUGUUGUUUUUGUUUGUUGGGUCUUUUAAGCUUUUUUAGAGAACUGAAGAAUUUAGUAACUUUCACUUAUUAUCCAUAGCAGGGGUCCCCAAUCUGUUAGGAACGGGCGGGCCCCCAGCGAAGCUCUCCCAGGCUCUGCCUCCUGUCGCUCUGCUGUCCCCCCACACUGGGCGAGCUAGCGAAGCUCACCUGAACUCUGUCUCCUAUACCCCCUGUCUUCCACCAAACCCGUCCCUGGUGCCAAAAAGAUUGGGGACCGCUGAUCAAUAGGACUGUUUGUUUACCAUGAAAUAGAGUUUGUAAAAUAAUAGGAUUAAUGCUGUAGUCUUUCUCUUUAAUUGCCACUUUUCAGAGUAAGAUGUUUAUUUUGGAGCCUUAGUGUGAUAAACAUGCUACAGUUUGAGGGAAGUUUAAGAAAGGCAUUAUUUUCAAAGAUAUAUACAAUAUUUAAAGAAUUUAGGCAUAGUGCAGUACCCCGGAACUAGUAACAAUGGAGAUGAGAGCUGUUACCACCUCUAGACCUGAAGGGACAAGGGAAGAGAGCAAUUGGGGAGGGUAGCUCCAUGGAGAGGGCUGUUUGACAAAGGGGUGUGAUUUUAAGUGGAGACAAGCAUGUUUUAAGUGAGGGAACCAGGGGAAUAUAGGAGUAUAUCCCGGCCCUUAUUGACCUCGCACUCUAUGGUCUCCUAUCUGUGGUUUCCCGUUGCCUGAAAAGCUAGUAUGAAAAAGAACCUAUUGAUCCAGUCCCCAAGUGUUAGCAAACAAAAUACACCCAGUUUUUAUUUAUUUCUUUUUUAAUUUUUAACAUCAUUAUGGAAACCAUUAAAAAUAUAUAUGUAUUUGGUGUGUUUCAGUCAAUUUUUGUGAUUCUUGCUGAUGUUCAGUUUUUUCAAUCUUUGACUAAUAGGAACAUUUUUGCAUCUCCACGCUCCCGCUAGGUUCUGUGGAAUAGUAGUCUUCCACAAACUGUUACCUGGUGCCAAAAAGGUUGGGGACCACUGCUAUAAUUGACUCUGUAAAUUGUAAUUGAAAAAUUGUAUGCCUUGAACAGAUAAUAUCUAGUCUGUGAAACUUGAUUUAUUUUAGGAACAUAAUACAAAAUUCACUAAUUGAAACCAUCUUCUUAAAUUUCCAGCCUUAUCAAAAAGUUCUCUUUUAGGUAUACAUCUUCUAUUUGUUCUUUCAUAGAUUGCUUAAAUUUUACUCUUUCUUAAAAGUAGGACAAAGAAAAUGUUUUUAUGAUUAUCAUCUACUCUUAAAGUGUUUACUUAUCUCAUCCUAAUUGUAUUUCUCCUCUUAUUUCUAGUAAUUUCUAGUCAUAGAGAUAGUAUAGCAUAGUGGAUAAGAGCAUGGGUUCUGGAGUCUGACUACAUAAUUUUUAAUU